Molecule: long non-coding RNA, 1542 nt
Organism: Phragmites australis (common reed)
Lineage: Eukaryota; Viridiplantae; Streptophyta; Magnoliopsida; Poales; Poaceae
Exons: 4
Source: RefSeq, a predicted model, not a curated record
CCCCCUGUAAAGCCAGUCCUACUGCUCGUUUGCUCUGCCUGCUCCUUGCCUGUGAGACCGUGCUCCCUGCCGGCGGCAGACGGCGCCCUGCUCUGCUGCUCCUCCAAGCUCCAGAUCGGCAUAUCCCGUAGGCGGUCGGCCUCUCCUGCAAGCUGCGGUUGCCGCCCAGCCUCGACUCCCCUCCGCCCCGGCCCUGAAGAUUGAAGAAGGACGACGAACUAUGGCCACUACGCCGGGCUGCGACCCCGGUUCAUUUCUUGAGAUAACCCAUUAUUUACCAUGGUGAAUGGGGAGCAUAUCCUCUGGACAUGAGAAUUAGAUGACACAACAGCUUUCAAGAACUUCAAGAUGUGGGGACAUAUCGAAUUCUCUCUACCAUUUGGAAGAGUACUCAGCCCUACACAGAAAGUUUUAUCCAUGAACUAGAUGAGAAGACAAGCGCCUCCCUGAAGUUCACAAUUUUGAACCCGAAGGGACGUAUCUGGACAAUGGUUGCUAGAGGAGGUGCUAGGGUCAUAUACGCUGAUACAGCAAUCAUGAAUCCUUAUCUUUUUUUUUAUUUAAACUUGGGAAGUUUUUCAUGUUGGUGCCUGCUAGGCUGCUACACUAUUCACCUAACUUAGGCUUGCAUAUGAUUUUAUUUAGAACAUCUUUAAAUUAAAAAUCGGUAAAAAUUUUAGUACCUAGAAAUUAGCACCUUUUGCUUAAAUGCUAGGUCCGCCAAUGUGUGUGGUCACCUGGGAGUAGGUUUGCCCAUAGCAACGGUAACGAUUGGGAUGACACGACAGUGACGGGAAGGCAAUACCGCCGGCUUGGCAUCAUGGAGCACGAAGAUGAGGAAUGGCAGAACGACUAAGGUGAAUUAACAGAUACUACUAUACUAGCAGUGAUCACGUUUAACAAAUGCGGGGAGCUUAGGUAACCUCAAUUAUGCCAUUGUUUAGGUCCGCUAAUGUUAAAAAGUGUAUUUUCUUCACUGACAAACACAUAGGGUAUCAUGCUAUAAGACGUAUCUUCUCUUUCGUUUACCUUAGAAUGACAAUGUGAUGCAUGCGUCAGCCCAAAUUGUGUGUAUAGUCCAAACUGGGCCAAUGUUCAAAGCUGAACUGAGUGUCUAGUGUCUACAACACAUAGGCGCACGAUGUGGUUUUUUAUAUUAGAAAAUGACGAUGUAGAUUACUAUGGGCCAAACACUUUUGGUGAAAAAUGGUCAAAACACAAGCAAGCGCUGCAUAUGCUAGGGAUUCUACUUGAGAAUGCGUACAUAAAGCAUGUUUGGAAGAGAAUUCAUACCAUUCUACUGGAGGAUAAAAAUAUGCGAGAUGUAGCGGAUGGAAAAUAACUGGAGUUAGCGUUAGUACAAGCAUGCCACUUCAGAUGCCGUUUAAUAGUGUUGAGGCAUCAAUGACUUUUUUUUUCCAACCCGGUGUGUCGGGUGAUGGAUUUUUCUAUGUAAUAAUGAACGGUUGUGUGUAUAACUUUAUAUAGAAGCCGAAAUAAAUAUUAUUCCAUUAAUUAAAAAACAAAUGCCACUUCAGAUGC